Molecule: long non-coding RNA, 2105 nt
Filed under: Sus scrofa (pig)
Lineage: Eukaryota; Metazoa; Chordata; Mammalia; Artiodactyla; Suidae
Description: lncRNA (ENSSSCG00005044211.1)
Source: RNAcentral
AUGCUGUGCGUUGUUAAGUUAACCGUCUCAUCAACUGCUUGGUUACGCAGGGAGACACCUCACACAGGAGAGAGGAAUGCUUCACUAGGCCCAUUAAUAAACCAAAAAAGCCACAGAGGCACCGCCUGGCCCAGGCUCUGCCAUCAAGUGACAUUAUCAGUGGGCCAGACCGUGCCUGCGACUCGCUGGAAGAAAUGGGGAGCCGAGCCCCAGCACCAGGCCUCAUCCCCAGGCUGGGGGCUGCUGAGGCUGUGGUGGCCUGGACCAGGCACGGAGAGAGCCCGGGUCCCUCCCCGCCUGCUGGGCUUGGCCUCGGCACGUCUUGGUCCGCUGGAGGCCAGCGGUGCCGCAGCUCCCAGGAAGCCCAGGCGAAUCCUCGCGGCACAAGGGCAAGGCAGCUCUGUUUCUGCCAGAGCUCAGGCUCAGGCUCGGUCUCGGCAGAGGGACCCCACACACCGAACUGUUCUGGGCACAGGGGACACCCCCUUGUGUCUUUUCCUGAACUCUCCUCUGGCCUGGACGCGCUCUGGCUCCCAAGGACGUGCGGUGAGAGGCAGACGGCAGAGAAGGGUGCUACGAACUCGACAAGACUCAUCUCACAUCCGAUCGGCAGAGAAGGAGCUGGAAGGCGGGGAGGGCGGUGAAGAGGAUGGGGCGCCAGGCGCGCGGCCUCGCUCCCACGCUCACACCUGUGAGAUGCUGCUGGCCAGACGGAACGACACUCGUUUUGCUCUUUCGUUCUCCUGGAAGAAGAUCAGACCACUUGGAAUCAGCAGGGCCCGGUGUCAGGUUCGCCAGCGGGGAAAGGCCACUGUCACCUGGGAGCCAGGGCCGGCACUUUCUCCCACCCCCAGGAUGCAGGCGCAAGAUGCGCUGACGCCACGAGGCGCUGGGGGCCGAGUGUGGGCACCCCAGGGACGGCGGUCAGAGCCCGGCCUGCUGGCCGGGGGCUCGGGGCCUGCGCAGGCGGACAGACAGAAGGUCGGGGCGCUCCUUCCUUCUCUGUGCCAGGAGGCUGCGGGCCUCUCUCUCCCCCAAACCCAAGCUGAGAUCAAGAAACCGAGCCCAGGCUAUUCUCUCGGGGUGUCACAGUGUGGACUGACCAGCUCCAGCUGCAGCCUCAGGCCGGGCUUCUCACCCCACUUCUGCUGCUCUUUUGUGGGGUGACCCUGGGCAGGCCCGGCCACCCCCUGAGUUCCGGGCCCCGGGGGUAACUGGGGAAGCUGCGCCCCACACAGCCUUGCCUGCCCCUGGGCUAAGGGGCUGGCAGGGAGGGUUGGCCGGCACCUCUGCUGUGAAGGGAGCGGCCUCUCUCCUGCUCGCUCUGUCCUGCCGCCCACCCGCCAGCAGCAGCUCUUGGCAGCAGCUCCUACCAUGUGCCGUCGCCGCCUCUUGGGCUGGAUGCCCUCCUGCACGUAGUGGGGCCACGGGAAGCCCUGGGGCGUGGAGUAGCCACUCUCGCUGGACACCUCCUCGGAGUCCGAGUCCUCCUGCCUGGGCUGAGCAAACCGCUUCUCCGGGUAGAUCUCCUUCAACCAGCCUUCAAAGAACACUUCCAGGCAGCGCCCUGCCUCUGCCACCUCGGAGUCGGGCUGCAGGGGGACGGGACGGUGAGUGGCUGGCCCCGCUCCUCCAGGCCCCCAGGAGCUGCAGGGCGCACGAGGCCUGCCCUGCCUCCCGGCUGCCUGGGGCUCGCGUGUCCUCAUCUCCCAUCAGCUCCUGAGGCGGAGCUACCCCCGGACGGACGGCCAGCCCCGCGCACCCCGCCAACCAGGAGGGAGAGCUUGCUUAUAAACGCCCACGGCCGUAGGCCCAGAAGGUCUGCUCCCAGGGCCUCACUGGCAGCCCGGGCCCAAAGCGGACAUCCCUGUCUGGCCCCAAGAGUCUUGGGGUCCCUGGAAACAGGGCAGCGGGAGAAGGAGGAGACGUACGUAAUUGAACUUCGCGCAGUUCCAGAACAUGAGGCGGACGUCGGACACCACCUCCUCGGGCGUGGUGUAGUGAGCGGGGUCCUUCUUCUGCAGCUUCCUCCGGAUAAUCGACAGGUCCAUGGGCCUCUUGAUAAUCUGGUAGUAAUGGCGGGCCUUGGGGGGGGAGGGGAGGGG